Molecule: ribosomal RNA, 402 nt
Filed under: Verrucomicrobiota bacterium
Lineage: Bacteria; Pseudomonadati; Verrucomicrobiota
Description: Verrucomicrobia bacterium partial 16S ribosomal RNA
Rfam family: Bacterial small subunit ribosomal RNA
Source: RNAcentral
UGGGGAAUUUUGCACAAUGGGGGAAACCCUGAUGCAGCGACGCCGCGUGAUUUAGAAGGCCUUCGGGUUGUAAAAAUCCUUUCUAUGGGAAGAAAAUGACAGUACCAUAGGAAUAAGGACCGGCUAAUUACGUGCCAGCAGCCGCGGUAAUACGUAAGGUCCGAGCGUUGUCCGGAAUCAUUGGGCGUAAAGGGUACGUAGGCGGGUAAGCAAGUUAGAAGUGAAAUCCUGUAGCUCAACUACAGUAAGCUUUUAAAACUGCUCAUCUUGAGAUAUGGAAGGGAAAGUGGAAUUCCUAGUGUAGCGGUGAAAUGCGCAGAUAUUAGGAGGAAUACCGGUGGCGAAGGCGACUUUCUGGCCAUAAUCUGACGCUGAGGUACGAAAGCGUGGGUAGCAAACAGG